AUUCCAGACUCCUACGGGAGGCAGCAGUGGGGAAUAUUGCACAAUGGGGGAAACCCUGAUGCAGCAACGCCGCGUGAGUGAAGAAGUAUUUCGGUAUGUAAAGCUCUAUCAGCAGGGAAGAAAAUGACAGUACCUGACUAAGAAGCCCCGACUAACUGCGUGCCAGCAGCCGCGGUAAUACGUAGGGGGCAAGCGUUAUCCGGAUUUACUGGGUGUAAAGGGAGCGUAGACGGCUGCGCAAGUCAGAAGUGAAAGCCCGGGGCUCAACCGCGGGACUGCAUUGGAAACUGUAUAUCUAGAGUGUCGGAGAGGCAAGUGGAAUUCCUGGUGUAGCGGUGAAAUGCGUAGAUAUCAGGAGGAACACCAGUGGCGAAGGCGGCUUGCUGGACGAUGACUGACGUUGAGGCUCGAAAGCGUGGGGAGCAAACAGGAUUAGAUACCCGAGUAAA
This 449-nucleotide ribosomal RNA is filed under the name uncultured bacterium. RNAcentral describes it as "bacterial SSU rRNA". It matches the Rfam family "Bacterial small subunit ribosomal RNA", at positions 328 to 794 of the family's 1533-position model. The record is from RNAcentral.